GCUUCCCUAAGACCAGACAGGAGGAGGAAAAACAACAGCCCUACGUGAUUUAACAAGCAAACAAUAAUGCGCUUUGCUUCAGGGAGCAAAUAGCCAAAGACAGUGGUUCAAGCCCACAUGCUAAUGCACACUGAGGGUUGCACGGCGGGCACUGUUCCAGGCAUCAGAAAUGUAACACCAAGCAAGUCAGCCAGGAUCCUGCCCUCUGUUCACACACAGUCUCUCAGGAAACCUUGGGAACUCCAGCGAAUCCCUGUAAAGAGUUUGGAGUAGUGCCCGGUACACAAUGCCGAAACUGAUGCACAGAGGCAAAACAGCUGGAAUUCAAGGUCAGUCUGUCUUGACUCCAG
Long non-coding RNA from Artibeus jamaicensis (Jamaican fruit-eating bat), 350 nucleotides. RefSeq lists it as uncharacterized. The transcript is spliced from 3 exons. The record is from RefSeq and is a predicted model, not a curated record. NCBI's taxonomy places the organism in Eukaryota, Metazoa, Chordata, Mammalia, Chiroptera, Phyllostomidae.